Populus euphratica (Euphrates poplar) is the source of this 352-nucleotide long non-coding RNA. RefSeq lists it as uncharacterized. The transcript is spliced from 2 exons. The record is from RefSeq and is a predicted model, not a curated record. NCBI's taxonomy places the organism in Eukaryota, Viridiplantae, Streptophyta, Magnoliopsida, Malpighiales, Salicaceae.
AAUCUCAGAGGUCAUCACAUACAUCACAUUUAUUGAGUUAAGAACAAUCUCAGAGGCCAGCACCACUGAAAGAUCCAAGACAGCAAUCUCAUCCCGCUAUAAUGGUUAAAAUGAAUUCAGCAUAUUGAGUCUCAAUAUAAGGUAGACGGAAAUGACAAUGAUGACAGUUUGUUUAUCCUUUUUCUAGGUAGUGUAUCCCUUUUCUAGGUAAAUAACAAACUCAUUAGUUUCAGGAGAUCAAAAGCAAGAGCCAUGAUAUAAUGAGUUCCUUAAACAAGGUGGCAUCUAUCAAAGAACCAUUAGACCUGAAAGCUUAACUGGUUAUCUAAGAUCAAACAAAUAAAAAAAAGGG